This 253-nucleotide ribosomal RNA is filed under the name uncultured bacterium. Its description in RNAcentral is "partial 16S ribosomal RNA". It matches the Rfam family "Bacterial small subunit ribosomal RNA", at positions 524 to 776 of the family's 1533-position model. The record is from RNAcentral.
UACGAAGGGGGCUAGCGUUGUUCGGAAUUACUGGGCGUAAAGGGCGCGUAGGCGGUGUGUCAAGUCAGGCGUGAAAGCCCCGGGCUCAACCUGGGAACAGCGCUUGAGACUGGCACGCUCGAGUUCGGGAGAGGAUGGUGGAAUUCCCAGUGUAGAGGUGAAAUUCGUAGAUAUUGGGAAGAACACCGAUGGCGAAGGCAGCCAGCUGGACCGACACUGACGCUGAGGCGCGAAAGCGUGGGGAGCAAACAGG